UACACACCGCCCGUCGCACCUACCGAUUGAAUGGUCCGGUGAAGCCUCGGGAUUGUGGCUGGUUUCCUUUAUUGGAAUCUGACCACGAGAACCUGUCUAAACCUUAUCAUUUAGAGGAAGGUGAAGUCGUAACAAGGUUUCCG
This 143-nucleotide ribosomal RNA is filed under the name uncultured eukaryote. RNAcentral's name for it is "partial small subunit ribosomal RNA". It matches the Rfam family "Eukaryotic small subunit ribosomal RNA", at positions 1663 to 1805 of the family's 1831-position model. The record is from RNAcentral.